UAUUACAAUGAAGAGUUUGAUCCUGGCUCAGGAUGAACGCUAGCUACAGGCUUAACACAUGCAAGUCGAGGGGCAGCAUGGUCUUAGCUUGCUAAGGCCGAUGGCGACCGGCGCACGGGUGAGUAACACGUAUCCAACCUGCCGUCUACUCUUGGACAGCCUUCUGAAAGGAAGAUUAAUACAAGAUGGCAUCAUGAGUCCGCAUGUUCACAUGAUUAAAGGUAUUCCGGUAGACGAUGGGGAUGCGUUCCAUUAGAUAGUAGGCGGGGUAACGGCCCACCUAGUCUUCGAUGGAUAGGGGUUCUGAGAGGAAGGUCCCCCACAUUGGAACUGAGACACGGUCCAAACUCCUACGGGAGGCAGCAGUGAGGAAUAUUGGUCAAUGGGCGCAGGCCUGAACCAGCCAAGUAGCGUGAAGGAUGACUGCCCUAUGGG
Molecule: ribosomal RNA, 435 nt
Filed under: Salmonella enterica subsp. enterica serovar Enteritidis
Lineage: Bacteria; Pseudomonadati; Pseudomonadota; Gammaproteobacteria; Enterobacterales; Enterobacteriaceae
Description: bacterial SSU rRNA
Rfam family: Bacterial small subunit ribosomal RNA
Source: RNAcentral